This 492-nucleotide ribosomal RNA is filed under the name uncultured bacterium. RNAcentral's name for it is "partial 16S ribosomal RNA". It matches the Rfam family "Bacterial small subunit ribosomal RNA", at positions 29 to 507 of the family's 1533-position model. The record is from RNAcentral.
AGUGAACGCUGGCGGUAGGCCUAACACAUGCAAGUCGAACGGCAGCACAGUAAGAGCUUGCUCUUACGGGUGGCGAGUGGCGGACGGGUGAGGCAUACAUCGGAAUCUACUUUUUCGUGGGGGAUAACGUAGGGAAACUUACGCUACUACCGCAUACGACCUACGGGUGAAAGCAGUGGAUCUUCGGACCUUGCGCGAUUGAUUGAGCCGAUGUCGGAUUAGCUAGUUGGCGGGGUAAAGGCCCACCAAGGCGACGAUCCGUAGCUGGUCUGAGAGGAUGAUCAGCCACACUGGAACUGAGACACGGUCCAGACUCCUACGGGAGGCAGCAGUGGGGAAUAUUGGACAAUGGGCGCAAGCCUGAUCCAGCCAUACCGCGUGGGUGAAGAAGGUCUUCGGGUUGUAAAGCCCUUUUGUUGGGAAAGAAAAGCAGCAGGUGAAUACCCCGCUGUUCUGACGGUACCCAAAGAAAAAGCACCGGCUAACUUCGUG